This 1130-nucleotide long non-coding RNA is filed under the name Calidris pugnax (ruff). RNAcentral's name for it is "lncRNA (ENSCPUG00000018887.1)". The record is from RNAcentral. Lineage: Eukaryota; Metazoa; Chordata; Aves; Charadriiformes; Scolopacidae.
CAGGGUGUUCGAACACAGGCAUGUGAGACCCUGAAAUACUCUGCGGCUUCAUCAGGCUUGAGAGAACAGACACAGCAUCCCCCUUUGCUGGCUGUGGAAGGAGCUGAUAGUAAAUCACAAGUCUGUUGCCUGAAAACACACUGCAAAUGAGAAGAGAUUUCCUCUGCGCAGGAUUUGCAGUUUGUGUAGAAAGUGUCUGUGAUACCUCUGCACCACAGGGAGAGGGGGCAUCAUGUUGUUGUCUCCAGCUAUAAAAGCGCUCUCGCACUGUUUUGUUCCAGCGGGUGAAUUAGCAAAUUGGAUUUGCUCCCAGGAGUAAAAUAUUCAUUUAUCAUUUCAUGGAAAACCCGACUGCCGUGUAAGAUGUGCUGUUGCCUGCUCCACAUCUGUUUGCGGUGAGCUACGAUGUGUUCCUCAGGAAGCUUUUAUCUCAGAAAUAAUGAUGGACACGCAGAAGCAACUGACCACGCAGAGCGGCUCUUGGCUGGUAUGUCCAUGCUAAAAUCCACUCUUGUGCUGUGCAAGUGUUAAGGCGGCAUUUACCUCGUUAACGCCGGCAAUGCGGGAGUGCAAACCAGAGGAAAGCCUGCAAAGCCACGUCUGCAACCACAUCUCAACAACGGGCUGAUUCUGCCUCGAAAUACGCCACAUCUUCAUUUGCUCAGCUCGUGUCCCUCCUGCCUUGGCCUCAAGCUGCAAAAUUCACCCUGUAACUGCCCGGAGAGCUGGCGGUACAGGAUCUGUGAGCGAUACAAACAUCAGGAUCCUCACUGGUGUCUCUCUGGGGGACAGAUGUUUAGAGAAGGUGUGGAAUUUAUGAUGUAAGUGAAGAUGUCAAGAGCUUGUUAAUCGAUAUCACCCCAAUCACUUUUCCUUUUAAAAAGCCAUGCAGGUGCCUGUAUUGGUUUGCUUUCUCCUGCUGCUCCUAGGAGUCGGGGGAUUUCUAACGUCCACCAGCGAUGUCCACAGGAAAUCACCUGAAAAAGUCUGUGGAUUCCUGGUAAAAACUACAGAAUGGCUGCUUAUGUGAGAAUAACUGUGGCUAACAAGGUCAGGUGGCCUGACCUUUAGUUUUUGGAAGUUCUAAGAGCACACAUGAGGUUUUAUGAGAUAUUUCACUUGCUUAAAAA